RNAcentral lists this transfer RNA (90 nucleotides) under Candidatus Magasanikbacteria bacterium CG1_02_41_34. RNAcentral's name for it is "tRNA-Ser". It matches the Rfam family "tRNA". From Rfam's summary of the family: Transfer RNA (tRNA) molecules are approximately 80 nucleotides in length. Their secondary structure includes four short double-helical elements and three loops (D, anti-codon, and T loops). The record is from RNAcentral. RNAcentral also lists the same sequence under 2 other names. Lineage: Bacteria; Candidatus Magasanikiibacteriota.
GGAGAGUUGGCUGAGCGGUCUAUAGCAGCAGUUUACUAAACUGUCGUCCUUGAAAGAGGACCGGGGGUUCGAAUCCUCCACUCUCCGCAA